This 387-nucleotide RNase P RNA is filed under the name Magnetococcales bacterium. RNAcentral describes it as "RNase P RNA component class A". It matches the Rfam family "Bacterial RNase P class A". From Rfam's summary of the family: Ribonuclease P (RNase P) is a ubiquitous endoribonuclease, found in archaea, bacteria and eukarya as well as chloroplasts and mitochondria. Its best characterised activity is the generation of mature 5'-ends of tRNAs by cleaving the 5'-leader elements of precursor-tRNAs. The record is from RNAcentral. Lineage: Bacteria; Pseudomonadati; Pseudomonadota; Magnetococcia; Magnetococcales.
AGAGUGGGCUGGAUGAUCGCGGGUGCAGAGGUAUUUUAUACCAAAACACUGGAGGAAAGUCCGGGCUCCAUAAAGCAAGAUGCCGGGUAACACCCGGCGGGGGUAACCCUAGGGAUAGUGCCACAGAAAGCAAACCGCCGGACUAGUUUUUCAACUAUCGGUAAGGGUGAAAGGGUGCGGUAAGAGCGCACCGCGUUUUUCAGGUAACUGAAACGGCAUGGUAAACCCCGUCUGGAGCAAGACCAAAUAGGGGAACGUUUAUGACGGCUCGUCCAGUUCCCGGGUAGGUCGCAAGAGGUGCUUGGCAACAAGUAUCCCAGAUGAAUGAUCAUCACCUAGCUAGCAAUAGCUAGGACACAGAACCCGGCUUACAGGCCCACUCUUUUU